CCUACGUGGGACAGCAGUGAGGAAUAUUGGUCAAUGGGCGAGAGCCUGAACCAGCCAAGUCGCGUGAAGGAUGACGGCCCUACGGGUUGUAAACUUCUUUUGUCAGGGAGCAAUUGGGUCCACGCGUGGGCUUAGCGAGAGUACCUGAAGAAAAAGCAUCGGCUAACUCCGUGCCAGCAGCCGCGGUAAUACGGAGGAUGCGAGCGUUAUCCGGAUUUAUUGGGUUAAAAGGGUGCGUAGGCGGAAUAUCAAGUCAGCGGUAAAAAUUCGGGGCUCAACCCCGUCGUGCCGUUGAAACUGAUGUUCUGGAGUGGGCGAGAAGUAUGCGGAAUGCGUGGUGUAGCUGUGAAAUGCAUAGAUAUCACGCAGAACUCCGAUUGCGAAGGCAGCUUACUAAACUAUAACUGACACUGAAGCACGAAAGCGUGGGGAUCAAACAGGAUUAGAUACCCGUGUAGUC
RNAcentral lists this ribosomal RNA (460 nucleotides) under uncultured bacterium. Its description in RNAcentral is "partial 16S ribosomal RNA". It matches the Rfam family "Bacterial small subunit ribosomal RNA", at positions 338 to 795 of the family's 1533-position model. The record is from RNAcentral.